RNAcentral lists this ribosomal RNA (533 nucleotides) under Synlestes selysi. RNAcentral's name for it is "partial 16S ribosomal RNA". It matches the Rfam family "Archaeal large subunit ribosomal RNA", at positions 1922 to 2688 of the family's 2987-position model. Lineage: Eukaryota; Metazoa; Arthropoda; Insecta; Odonata; Synlestidae. The record is from RNAcentral.
UUCUUCUUGUUGUUUAUAGGAAGUCUGACCUGCCCAGUGAAUAUUUGUUUUAACGGCCGCGGUAUUCUGACCGUGCAAAGGUAGCAUAAUAAUUAGUCUUUUAAUAGGGGGCUGGUAUGAAUGGUUUGACGAGGUGCUAACUGUCUCAAUUAAUUUAUUAAAAUUUAAUUUUUUAGUCAAAAAGCUAAAAUAAUCUUGGAAGACGAGAAGACCCUAUAGAGCUUUAUAAUACUAUAAUUAAUCUUAUUUUGUUUUAUUUUUUUGGUUAUUUUUUUUAUUAUUUUGUUGGGGUGACAAAAAUAUAUAAUUAACUUUUUUAUUUAUUUAACACUAAUGCGUGAAUUUUUAGAUCCAUUUUUAUUGAUUGUUAGAUUAAGUUACCUUAGGGAUAACAGCGUAAUCUUCUUUCAGAGUUCGAAUUUACAAGAAGGCUUGCGACCUCGAUGUUGGAUUAAGAUUAUAAUUGGGUGUAGCCGCUCAUUUUAUGGGUCUGUUCGACCCUUAAAUUCUUACAUGAUCUGAGUUCAAACCGG